Molecule: long non-coding RNA, 1982 nt
Organism: Salmo trutta (river trout)
Lineage: Eukaryota; Metazoa; Chordata; Actinopteri; Salmoniformes; Salmonidae
Source: Ensembl
UCUCUCUGUUCUCUCUUUCCUCCGUCAAUCUGUCUUCAACACAUCAUCAUCCACUAGACCUGUGUGCAUGAACACAUCCUCCCUCCCCCUCUUUUAUCCCUCCUCCUAUUCUGUGGUCUCUCUCUCUCUCUCGCGCUCUCUCUCGCUCUCUCUCACUCUCUCACUCUCUCUCUCUCUCUCUCUCUCUCUCUCUCUCUCUCACUCUCUCGCUCUCUCUCGCUCUCUCUCUCUCUCUCUCUCGCUCUCGCUCUCUCUCUCUCUCUCUCUCUCCAACACACUGUUCCACUUGCUUAUCUAGUGCUUUGUCUCUCUCACUCUUCUUCUCUUGGUCCUGAAAACCUGUCUUUUAUUUCCCUCUUCUCUCUGUUCUUCUACCCUUCCUCUUUGAAUAUCUAUUAUUACUGAGGACUAGACUGACCAAUGACUUUCAGGGAUCUGUUCUGCCUCUUUCUUCUGCUGUCCUGUGCGGCCGUACUACCAUGAGCACUUCUACUCCAUCCACAGCUAAUGGCAACGAUAGCAGACAGUUUAAAGGAGACCGUUCUCCCUGUGGUCCUUCCCGAGUGCUCCACGUCCGCAAGGUUCCCAUCGAGGUGUCUGAGGCUGAGCUCAUCUCUCUAGGAGUCCCAUUCGGUAGAGUCACCAACCUGUUGAUGCUGAAAGGGAAAAACCAGGCUUUUAUAGAAAUGGCUUCUGAAGAGGCAGCGAUCACCAUGGUGAACUACUACACCACAGCAACACCUCACGUCCGCAACCAGCCAGUCUACAUCCAGUACUCCAACCACCGCGAACUCAAGACAGACAACCUACCCAAUCAGGGGAGAGCUCAGGCAGCGUUGCAGGCGGUCAACGCAGUGCAUUCUGGGAACAUGGCGUUGGGCGGUUCAGCAUCGGGCAGUGAUGGAGCCUUGAUGCCAGGACAGAGCCCCGUGCUGCGCAUCAUUGUAGAAAACCUCUUCUACCCUGUAUCACUGGAGGUCCUGCACCAGAUCUUCUCUAAGUUCGGGACAGUCCUGAAGAUCAUCACAUUCACCAAGAACAACCAGUUCCAGGCCCUGCUACAAUAUGCUGACCCGAUGAAUGCCCACCACGCCAAAGUGACUUUGGAUGGCCAGAACAUCUAUAACGCGUGCUGCACUCUUCGCGUGGAGUUCUCCAAGCUGACCAGCCUGAAUGUGAAGUACAACAACGACAAGAGCCGAGACUUCACCCGUCUGGACCUUCCCUCCGGAGACGGACAGCCCACCAUGGACCCUGCUAUGACCGCUGCUUUCGGUAAUGUCACUCUUAGCCCGCCCUUUGACCUGUUCUCGUGUGUGCCCCCAGGUCUAUCCAUGCACACGAUGGCAGGAAUGGGACCCCUCGUCUCGGGACGGAUGACCCUGCACGGCAUGGCUCCCACCGCCGUUCACUCUGUUCUCCUUGUCUCCAACCUCAACCCCGAUAGCAUAUCACCACACGAACUGUUCAUCCUGUUUGGGGUGUAUGGUGAUGUGCAUCGGGUCAAGAUUCUGUUCAACAAGAAAGAGAACGCCUUAAUCCAGAUGGCCGACGCUACUCAGGCACAGCUUGCUAUGUCCCAUCUGAAUGGCCAGCGGCUGCACGGUAAGGUGAUCAGAGUGACCAUCUCUAAGCACCAGACGGUCCAGCUGCCCAGGGAGGGACAGGAAGACCAGGGCCUCACUAAAGACUUCAGCGGCUCCCCGCUACAAAAAAAAAAAAACACCAACAUCUUCCCUCCCUCUGCCACCCUCCAUCUCUCCAACAUCCCCCCGUCUAUAACAGAUGACAUCCUAAAGGACCUUUUCUCUGGAAAUGGAUACACAGUCAAGGCCUUCAAGUUCUUCCAGAAGGACCGUAAGAUGGCUCUGAUCCAGUUGGGUUCAGUGGAGGAGGCCAUCCAGGCCCUGAUCGACCUCCACAACCACGACCUGGGAGAGAACCAUCACCUCCGCGUGUCCUUCUCCAAGAGCACCAUCUGA